Molecule: non-coding RNA, 2186 nt
Organism: Pocillopora verrucosa
Lineage: Eukaryota; Metazoa; Cnidaria; Anthozoa; Scleractinia; Pocilloporidae
Source: RefSeq, a predicted model, not a curated record
AUGUAAACCGCGUAUGCUUUGUAUUUCUUCUUCUAUUAACCGUAAAAGGUCUAUUUUGUAUUGGAGAUCGUGUGCUAGCCUUGCGUAGGGUGGAGUUUUUUCUUGCAAGUCUUUACGACCGUUUUUAACUCAUUCAGAAGAGAGGAAUAUUGGUCAUCAGUUGUUUUUGUAAGGACCUCAGGAAAAAGUUCCCCAGUAUGGCACUCAGGCUUGGCUACAUUCUGAGCACCCCUUUGAAUGGAGCUCUUAGAGUCUAACAGAAAUAUUACAGCAGAUCACACCACCAUAGUGCUGCAACAGCUGACAUUCGGCUGAUCUCUGUACUUCAUGGAAUCAAACUUAAAACAACUAUUCAACGAAGUGGAGCUGGCUAGUGGUUGAUAAUAAUAUUCCUGCAACGAUUACAAUAUGUUCGGGGGCAAAUCCAGCGCGAGUUGUUGGGAAGUGGCUGGCAAAGGAUAUUCAGCGUUUGAGUUGCCACUCAGAGCUCAUAUUCAUCUUUUUGUACUAUAUUAUGUCAAGCAUUUAAAGAAAGCGACAAAACUUUUAAGUCUGUAAAACAUGUUUAGACAGAAACUUCUGUCAUCUUCAGUUAAUUAAUGUUCAAAGCGUUGGAAGUUGAAUUAUCUAGUGCGUAGAACAAUGCUAAUUAUGAUAAAUAGUGACAACAAUAAAAGAGGUAAAGCAUGAAAGUGUGGGAAUUAAAAGGAUAGUUUUAGAUUUACAUGGUGUAAUUGUUGAUUCAUGGAUGGUUGUUCUCUUUGAAUAUGAGUAGCCUCUUUUAUCUUGAGUUGAAAACCGGUAGAGGUGUGAUCUAAAACAUGGAAGUUAUCUGCUGAACACAAAGCGCGACAAUGUGCAGAAUCUUUCAGAUGCUUGAAAAUGUGAGAGGCCCUGUCACUGACUAAGUGCUCUCUAGCACGUGUGGAAAAAUGCCGGCAGGUUUCACCUACGUAUCACGCAUUACAGCCAGCACAUACAAACUUAUAAACCACACGUGAACGGAGCCCGUCAGCGACAGGGUCUUUUACACCAAACAAGAAGCCGAUUUGGAAGGAAGAUAAAACUAGUUUAAUAUCCAAGUCAUUGCAAUAGCGCUUAAUAAAAUGGCGAAUCUUUUUUUUGAUUGAUAGCAAAAAAGUGGCCCAUUUAGGGUAGCUUAAAGUAAAACCUAGGUGAAGUGGUAGGAAGAGAACCCCGGGGAUGAUGAUUGCCUUGGGUCCCAGUGAUGUAACGGUUUAUAAUCUUCUCGAUUAAAUGAGCAGGGAAAAGAUUCAUUUUUAGAAUAUCAAUAAGUUUGUUAAUGUCCUCGUGAAACCCUAACCAGGUGUUAUUAAUCUUGUAGGCCCUAUCAACGAGAGUCUUAAUGAGACCCACUUUGUAAGAGUACGUGGUGAAGCUGAAAUAAUUAGUUAGUAACCCAGUGAGUUGGUAACCAGACUGAGUUUCUUAUCUGUGCAUUGCCUCGAUGUGACCGCGAGAUGCCUCAAUCGUGAAUGGUACAUUUUAAUGUUGGAUCAAAUUAAAUCAGUUCUCCUUUUUAUCUACUAUUUUUUUCAGGUUUUCUACUUCCGUAUGUAUGUUGGCAUUGUAAUACUGGGUGCUCUUCACGGGCUGUUACUCCUUCCUGUUUUGCUAAGUUACGUUGGCCCAGCUCCCCGAAAAGUUCCUCCCACAGCGACUUCGUCAGAUCACACCUCGGCCGUUUCCGAGCGCACGCCUUUAAUCAAGGCGUAACUGAGCAUCAAUGUAAAAUAAAUUUUAGCCGUAACUUUAACCUUUUUCCGCUUAGGUAUUCAAAUUUCGCGUGCAUCUCGGCGUUGUUUUGAUCGGCGCGUAGCAUGGUCUCUUGUUUCUUCCUGUACUUCUGAGUUAUGUGGGCCCGAUGUCUUCAAAGGCAGUGGCGGUGUUGGAAUACGAGUCAUCGUUAAGGCAACGAUGAUGAAAGGAAACUUGCUCUAUUCUGAACCAGUGGAAUCCAGUGACCUUGGACUGUUAAACUGAAAUUGUCAUUGCACAUGAUAUUUUGUCUUUUUAUGUUAUUUAAAGCCUAUUAUAAUAACGCAAAAUCAAUUUAAGAAUAAGAAAAAAGAAUGGCAAAUUAACACUGAUCUUAAAGCGAAGAAGCUUUUGAAAGCUGUGUUUUGUGAGUGGUGUUUGUUGCAUUUGAGGAGAAAAAUAAAGUU